GGAUGAACGCUGGCGGCGUGCUUAACACAUGCAAGUCGAACGAUGAAGCCCAGCUUGCUGGGUGGAUUAGUGGCGAACGGGUGAGUAACACGUGAGUAACCUGCCCUUAACUCUGGGAUAAGCCUGGGAAACUAGGUCUAAUACCGGAUAGGAGCGCCUACCGCAUGGUGGGUGUUGGAAAGAUUUAUCGGUUUUGGAUGGACUCGCGGCCUAUCAGCUUGUUGGUGAGGUAAUGGCUCACCAAGGCGACGACGGGUAGCCGGCCUGAGAGGGUGACCGGCCACACUGGGACUGAGACACGGCCCAGACUCCUACGGGAGGCAGCAGUGGGGAAUAUUGCACAAUGGGCGMAAGCCUGAUGCAGCGACGCCGCGUGAGGGAUGACGGCCUUCGGGUUGUAAACCUCUUUCAGUAGGGAAGAAGCGAAAGUGACGGUACCUGCAGAAGAAGCACCGGCUAACUACGU
This 466-nucleotide ribosomal RNA is filed under the name Micrococcus luteus. Its description in RNAcentral is "bacterial SSU rRNA". Lineage: Bacteria; Bacillati; Actinomycetota; Actinomycetes; Micrococcales; Micrococcaceae. The record is from RNAcentral.